GGGGGGAAGUAGCACCCAAGCCAAGGCCUCGUGGAAGCAGGGGCAUCUCAGAGAUCAUCUCCGGUAACGGGGGCUUGACUUCGUGAUGAGUGAAAGAAUCCAGGCCUGAUCACUGGGACCCGGGAGAAGUCGGACUGAAACAAAAGAGGAGCCUGAGGGCGGCGGCGGAGGACUCAGAACAGUCUAGCACCCAAGGCCAACACAGAAGCUGGCUGAGGCAGGCCCUCUGUGCCUGCGAGGGCAGUGUCCUUGGCCAUGUGUCCUGGGAGAGAAAAAAGCGGGUCUUAGAGUGGGCCUUAGAGUCUUAGGAGCUCUUAGACUUCCCUGCUGGCUCAGACGGUAAAGCGUCUGUCUACAAUGCAGGAGACCUGGGUUCGAUCCCUGGGUCGGGAAGUUCCCU
Molecule: long non-coding RNA, 400 nt
Organism: Bos taurus (domestic cattle)
Lineage: Eukaryota; Metazoa; Chordata; Mammalia; Artiodactyla; Bovidae
Source: Ensembl